RNAcentral lists this long non-coding RNA (3526 nucleotides) under Equus caballus (horse). RNAcentral's name for it is "lncRNA (ENSECAG00000045346.1)". The record is from RNAcentral. Lineage: Eukaryota; Metazoa; Chordata; Mammalia; Perissodactyla; Equidae.
GGGAGACCAGAACUACUUUGUUGCCUGACUUUGUUUCAAAGACGUCCUACAGGCUCUGCCGAACUUUCUUAGACGGAACCACUGUCUAGGGUACUCCCUCCCAUCUUCCCCUCUCUGCCCCACUGGGGAUGAGACUCACGUCGAGGUCUGACGGCUCUCCCAGCCUCUCAUAGAUCCCACCUCCCUUUUUACCUCCCACCCUUUUCACGCAGGCAUGUCCCCCGAGAAAAAAAUCCUUGCAAGUUUAAUCUGUUCUUGAGGCCCCAACCCCCUCUGUUCCCAGUCGUGGCUGUCCCAGGUCCUGGUCCUGGUCGACAGUGGCGGACCACUGAGCCACACCUGUCCCUUUCCCAGGCCCGGCCCCCGCCUUAGGGCUGCAUCUCUCCGCGUGUCAGCUCAUCAAACCUGCACAUCUGAACUAUCGCUCCUGAUGACAAAGUUAGAUUGGGGGCCAGUGGGGUCGUUGCAGGUGUGGACCAGGCAGGAGAGGCUUGUUUAGCAUCACUAUGGAAACCCCAGGCACCCAUCUUGGAAAGGUGUUUUAAAAUGGCCGGGUCAGACGCUCAAGGGGCGGAGUCAGUAGAGAGGGGGCAGGGAAAUUCUCUGCCCCUCCCCCCGUGCUUCCGGGCAGGACUGGUGCGGAGCUCUUCAUUUCUCCUCACGCCAGCAGCAGCAGGUCCAGGGCCGUCCCGACUCCCGGAGAGAGAGCUCGGAGUUCAGGGGCUUGCGGGCUUCGACCCGAUGGUGUGAAGUGAGAAUGUCAACUUUUCUGAGCCCCAAUUUGUUUUUCUUCUGCACACUUGGGACAUAUCCUGAGUGACGCUGGACAGAUGCAGGUGGGAUGGGGUGAGAGGAUGGCAAGAGUUGGAAGGAAGGACCGUGGCUGGGUGGGUCCCUCUGGGACAGAGUAGGGCAGGCACAGCUCUAGGGACAUUUCACAGGAAGGAAUGCGGGGGGUGGGCUGCCAGGACGUCACAAGGGUCCCAUUGUGACGCCCCCCCCCCCCAGCAAAGCUGGGGAUUGGCCCAAGGAGCGGAGGGGGAGGGGCAGAUAGGAGGCUGGUUGCCAGGGCCUGAGCCCAACAGGGAGACGACGGGACAGAGUGGUGGCACUCUGGCUCCAGCUCCUCCUCCAGGCCCCUUCAUCCUGACCCUUUCACAGCCUCCUCUAACCAGGACUCCGACUUCCCUCUCCGUCUCCUCUAUCCGGCUCCAGGCGGGCCCCUCCAGGCCCAGCAGAAGCACGGGUCUGUGGACAGGGUGCGGCUGGCAAAGGAUCAGUGGACAGGGUGGGGCUGGCUGCACCACGCGAAUGAGACCUGCCAUAGGGAGACCCGACGCAGGGGCAGAGCGAAGAUGGGGCCUGCACAAAUCUGGCUCCGAUGAGGACUCACCAACCAUCCGGCGUCCUCUCCUGGGUCUCUGGCCCCACGGCCCCACGCUCGGGUUAGGCCUCCAGUUGUUGCCCACUGGCCUCCUCCAGCUUCUCUUCUCCUCCAGCUUCUCUCCUCCUCCAGCUUCUCUCCUCCUCCUCUCUUGUCUGCUCUUGAAUUUCUUUAAAAAUUUCCCUGCCUCCAGGCUCGUUUUUGACUUACCUGCUGAUCAGUCCCUGGAUAUUCACAUCUGCCUGGGGUCACCAAGUCAAGAUGACCGUGGUGGGGAUGGAACUCUGAGUUUCCUGGACCACAGUGCAGGUGAAAAAUGUACCUUAUCAGAGCGAAAAGGAAUGGUCUUAUCACAAGAUCAUUUUGAAAAUGGGCCUCAGGGGACACAUGUCCCUUAAUCCAGUCUGUGAGGUCCUACAACACCAUACUCUGCAAAUUCUAGCAGAGAGGUUGCAGUGAUUUGGGAGAGGCCUCAAAAUCAUGACUGCACCUCCUGGCACAGUUUACCCGAGUGAUGCUCCCUGGCCCCCAGGUGUGUGCAAACAGCCCCCAAGGAUUGCACCACCACUCCUCAGAUGGCAGGACAGCAGCCUCCUUCGGCCUGGAGAGCUUCGCCUCCGUCACUGGUGCCCACCUGGGAAAUCUCAGACUGCUCUGCAAAGGUGCAAUUGGAUGCCCACUCUGAAAGGACAUUUUAUCCCGUUACUGUCCCUCUGGAAUCAUUCACUAACCAAACAUAUAUAAACCGACCUGUCUUCUGUGUGUGGCUUCCUAUGUGCCUGAUAUUGAGGAUGAAAAAUAAAGGAAUAGACUGACUUGGACAUCUGAGCACUGUGGCCCACUUUAGCUUCUCAGAGAACACCAAGUCUCCAGCAAACUCUGCAUUUGCAUCUGGAACCCAAGUGAAAGGCCAAGCUGCUUGGGUGACAGGGAGAGGGUGGCAUGGCUGCCAGCAGGUCCCCAAGACCGAGAGGACACAGGGUUUGCUUAAAGACCCCUCAGCUGGCAGGUGGCAGAUUCAGAGUGGACACCAGAGCGCAUUAACUGGGGAGGAGCAAGUCCCAAGAGGAACAGUGAAAACAAGACUCUGGCUCCAACCACUUAGCAUCUCACACAGUGAAGGAGAAUGGUUGCCAUCCAGUUGGCCACCAGAGGGCGCUCUGGGCAAAAAGAUCUUGAGGCCGUUCUUCAGCUCUUCGACUUGAUCGCCUCGCAAACUCUGGAGUCAGUGCUGUUUCCCAGAGACAGCAGACUGCUUUGCAUUCCCUUCUCUGCACCUCCGUGGCAACCUCUGUCAUGAUGUGAAAAGAGCCAGCUUUCAAUCCCAACUGGACCACCAACCAGCUGUGAAAACCUGUGCACUUCAACUGCUAUGAACCUCAGUCUCAUUCUCUCUCCCUGCAUCAUGGAGUUGCUGUGAGGAAGAGUGAUAACGAACAUGGAGGACCAGCUUAGUAUCCAGCACAAAGUUCCUUGGUAAACAGGAGCCUCUGUAGCCUGGCCACCCUGUCUUAUGAUCACUGAUUCACAUGUCCUUCAUUCAACCUCCUGGAAGGCAGCAUCUGUGUCAUCUCUGCCUGUACCUCCAGCCCCUAGCCCAGGGCUUAAUGGCACAUAGGCACUCCAUUAACUCAUUACUCAGACAUUACUGAGGUGGAGAAAUAGAUACUGUGGUUACAGAGUGGCUCCGACAAGAUUUAGACUCUCAAGGAAGUUACAUUUGAUCUAAUCAUGAGAAAAAUGUCAGAUAAACUCCUGUCAAGAGGCAUCCUACAGUACAUCUGAUCAAUACUGUUGAAAACUGUCAGGGUCAUCAAAAACAAGGAAAGUCUGAGACUGUCGCAGCCGAGAGGAGCCCAAGGAGACAUGAUGACUAAAUGCAAUGUGGUAUCCUGGAUGGGAUCCUAGAACAGAAAAAGGACAUUAGGUAAAAACUAAGGAAAUCUGAAGAAAGCAUGGACUUCAGCUAACAUUAAUGUAUCAAUAUUGGUUCAUUAACUGUAACAAACAUGCCACAGUAGGGUAAGAUGUUAGCCAUACAGGAAAAUGGGUACCGGGUAUAUGGGAACCCUCUGUACUAGCUUCUCCAUUUUUCUGUAAGUCUAAAACUUUUCUGAAAAAUAAAGCCUAUUUAAAAAAAAA